AGCGUGGGGCUUCUCUUUCUUAGUCUUCACUCGCUCUUUUUCUGUUCCCCUCCACCCCCGCCUGCCCGGUUCUUUCUCUGGUCUACAGGGUCCUCACACUACUGUCUUACUGAGUCACUCCCCGGGGAGCAAAGACGCAGUGACGAAGAUAACUGUAGGAAUGGUCAGACAGAAAGGAAAGAAACCACCCAGAAUGAAAGGAGAUCUUGGACAUCUUCAAAGCGAAUUGCAUUCCCUCUUUGCCUUGGCGGCCAGAUGCUCAGGACCGAUGUACAAUCCACUACCAGUGACUAAACAACAGCACGUGACCCACUCUGCACUCUGCAGACCCACUGGGUGCCCCUGCUGGAGGCUGGCACCUUGAGCCCAGUGUCUGCCUACCUCCUGAAGAACUUUGGCCUCCAGAACCUUCUGCCUCCUGCUGGCAGACGCCACGGUAUUCCCAGCUGAUUUGCCGA
Long non-coding RNA from Camelus dromedarius (Arabian camel), 458 nucleotides. RefSeq lists it as uncharacterized. The record is from RefSeq and is a predicted model, not a curated record. Lineage: Eukaryota; Metazoa; Chordata; Mammalia; Artiodactyla; Camelidae. The transcript is spliced from 3 exons.